Bacillus rossius redtenbacheri is the source of this 585-nucleotide long non-coding RNA. RefSeq lists it as uncharacterized. NCBI's taxonomy places the organism in Eukaryota, Metazoa, Arthropoda, Insecta, Phasmatodea, Bacillidae. The record is from RefSeq and is a predicted model, not a curated record. The transcript is spliced from 3 exons.
AGGCCGUCAGUUUCUCUACGUGUGUCACCUGUCGCUCGCAUGAAAAAGCGGCGCGCGUAAGCUGAAGUGCGCGUGAGUCAAAGUGCCGCACCUACACAUCCCAUUAAGUCUUUUUCCCCCCAUGAUAUCGAAAUCGUGUUUUUUUUUUUAUCUCGGAGUAUGAACGUAUUAUAAAAUAAACCAUUACUUGACGAGUGACAAAAACAUGUGACCAUGCGGUGUGUUUAUUACAUAUAAUUUAAUAUAUAUUAUUUUAAGUACAUAACGUUUCAUUAUAAAUCAUUAUUUUACUCAAUAAUUUUACUUUUGUUGAACUAAACUUUGAAACCGAGCUUAAGAAUUUCAUACUGUUAAAUACGAGUGUGUGAAUUAAUUGAACUGCCGUAAUUAAUUUCGUCUGGGCUAUAUCAAUAAAAACGGAAGGCCUGCGUUGUGGUUGGUGGUAAGGCCUCACCGCAGUUUAACAACGUAGUUGUGGCAAUUGCACCAGUACACGGCUCGAUCAAGACUCCCGUGUUAUGGAGUAUUCGGACACCACUAAUGAAGCGGGAAUGUUCCUACACAAUGCUCUGAAUACAGCGAAAC